Molecule: ribosomal RNA, 484 nt
Filed under: uncultured bacterium
Lineage: Bacteria
Description: partial 16S ribosomal RNA
Rfam family: Bacterial small subunit ribosomal RNA
Source: RNAcentral
AUUGAACGCUGGCGGCAUGCUUUACACAUGCAAGUCGAACGGCAGCGCGGGCUUCGGCCUGGCGGCGAGUGGCGAACGGGUGAGUAAUGCAUCGGAACGUGCCCAGUAGUGGGGGAUAGCCCGGCGAAAGCCGGAUUAAUACCGCAUACGACCUGAGGGUGAAGGCGGGGGACCGAAAGGCCUCGCGCUAUUGGAGCGGCCGAUGUCGGAUUAGCUAGUUGGUGGGGUAAAGGCUUACCAAGGCGACGAUCCGUAGCUGGUCUGAGAGGACGACCAGCCACACUGGGACUGAGACACGGCCCAGACUCCUACGGGAGGCAGCAGUGGGGAAUUUUGGACAAAGGGGGCAACCCUGAUCCAGCCAUGCCGCGUGCGGGAAGAAGGCCUUCGGGUUGUAAACCGCUUUUGUUCGGGAAGAAAUCCUCUGGGCUAAUACCCCGGGGGGAUGACGGUACCGGAAGAAUAAGCACCGGCUAACUACGUG